CCGCAUCCGUUUUAGAAAGUAUCGUUAAAGCGUUGUUGGUCAUCUUCUUAGCUACUACUUGCUUGAAUAAAAUGUACUAUCUUGAUCAGAUAAAUGUCAUGUAUAGGUAGUAGUGAGUGAGUAGGUGCUUGUUUGUUUGAGAUAAAGUUGAACAUUUUUUCUGAUGAGAUAAACUGCUUGACCCAUUUACCGGGAACGUCGCGUGCGCGCCGGCCCUCCACCAACUGAGGUGCGACGACCGCUCCAGCUCCAGGCGCGGCGGUCGCGUGUUCCCCGGCACCUCCACCUCCCGAGGCAAGGGGACGGUACCGGUGUCGGGCAGGUAUCUGCUCCAGGAGCUCGUACUCGCGUCUCCUCCCCUCCAGACGCCGUUCUACCUCCUUCUCCUAGGGCGCCGGCGGUACGGGACGAGCGGCACGGCCGUGGGUCGGCACGAGGCAGCGCCGGCGGCGUCGGUUCGGUGCGUGGCUGCGCUGGCGGCGGGGCAGGAAUCUGCUACAUCUGUUCCGGCAGCUCGCACUCGUGUCUCCUCCCCUCCAGUUGCCGUUCUACCUCCUUCUCCUAGGGCGCCGGCGGUACGGGACGAGCGGCACGGCCGCGGGUCGGCGCGAGGCGGUGUCUCGAGGGACCGCGGUCAGCGGUAGGCGCGGCGAGCGGCAGGUCGGCCAGUUGUAGGGGUAGCGCCCGUACACACACAUCACCCGACCACCGUACACACACGCACCCACCUACACUUAGAACACGCACACACUCUCCUAUUCCCUCUGUACGU
This 772-nucleotide ribosomal RNA is filed under the name Triticum aestivum (bread wheat). Its description in RNAcentral is "partial small subunit ribosomal RNA". The record is from RNAcentral. Lineage: Eukaryota; Viridiplantae; Streptophyta; Magnoliopsida; Poales; Poaceae.